This 77-nucleotide transfer RNA is filed under the name Lederbergia galactosidilytica. RNAcentral's name for it is "Bacillus galactosidilyticus tRNA-Pro". It matches the Rfam family "tRNA". From Rfam's summary of the family: Transfer RNA (tRNA) molecules are approximately 80 nucleotides in length. Their secondary structure includes four short double-helical elements and three loops (D, anti-codon, and T loops). RNAcentral also lists the same sequence under 1 other name. Lineage: Bacteria; Bacillati; Bacillota; Bacilli; Caryophanales; Bacillaceae. The record is from RNAcentral.
CGGGAUGUAGCUCAGCUUGGUAGAGCACUUGCAUGGGGUGCAAGGGGUCGCAGGUUCAACUCCUGUCAUCCCGAUCA